This 643-nucleotide ribosomal RNA is filed under the name uncultured Alphaproteobacteria bacterium. RNAcentral describes it as "bacterial SSU rRNA". It matches the Rfam family "Bacterial small subunit ribosomal RNA", at positions 52 to 742 of the family's 1533-position model. The record is from RNAcentral. Lineage: Bacteria; Pseudomonadati; Pseudomonadota; Alphaproteobacteria.
CACAUGCAAGUCGAGCGGACCUUUCGGGGUCAGCGGCGGACGGGUGAGUAACGCGUGGGAACGUGCCUUCCGGUUCGGAAUAACCCUGGGAAACUAGGGCUAAUACCGGAUACGCCCUUAUGGGGAAAGGUUUACUGCCGGAAGAUCGGCCCGCGUCUGAUUAGCUAGUUGGUGGGGUAACGGCCUACCAAGGCGACGAUCAGUAGCUGGUCUGAGAGGAUGAUCAGCCACACUGGGACUGAGACACGGCCCAGACUCCUACGGGAGGCAGCAGUGGGGAAUAUUGGACAAUGGGCGCAAGCCUGAUCCAGCCAUGCCGCGUGAGUGAUGAAGGCCUUAGGGUUGUAAAGCUCUUUUAUCCGGGACGAUAAUGACGGUACCGGAGGAAUAAGCCCCGGCUAACUUCGUGCCAGCAGCCGCGGUAAUACGAAGGGGGCUAGCGUUGCUCGGAAUCACUGGGCGUAAAGGGCGCGUAGGCGGCGUUUUAAGUCGGGGGUGAAAGCCUGUGGCUCAACCACAGAAUGGCCUUCGAUACUGGGACGCUUGAGUAUGGUAGAGGUUGGUGGAACUGCGAGUGUAGAGGUGAAAUUCGUAGAUAUUCGCAAGACACCGGUGGCGAAGGCGGCCAACUGGACCAUUACUG